This 497-nucleotide ribosomal RNA is filed under the name uncultured bacterium. RNAcentral's name for it is "partial 16S ribosomal RNA". It matches the Rfam family "Bacterial small subunit ribosomal RNA", at positions 28 to 507 of the family's 1533-position model. The record is from RNAcentral.
GAUGAACGCUGGCGGCGUGCCUAAUACAUGCAAGUCGAGCGAACGGACGAGAAGCUUGCUUUUCUGAUGUUAGCGGCGGACGGGUGAGUAACACGUGGAUAACCUACCUAUAAGACUGGGAUAACUUCGGGACACCGGAGCUAAUACCGGAUAAUAUUUUGAACCGCAUGGGUCAAAAGUGAAAGACGGUCUUGCUGUCACUUCUAGAUGGAUCCGCGCUGCAUUAGCUAGUUGGUAAGGUAACGGCUUACCAAGGCAACGAUGCAUAGCCGACCUGAGAGGGGGAUCGGCCACACUGGAACUGAGACACGGUCCAGACUCCUACGGGAGGCAGCAGUAGGGAAUCUUCCGCAAUGGGCGAAAGCCUGACGGAGCAACGCCGCGUGAGUGAUGAAGGUCUUCGGAUCGUAAAACUCUGUUAUUAGGGAAGAACAUAUGUGUAAGUAACUGUGCACAUCUUGACGGUACCUAAUCAGAAAGCCACGGCUAACUACGUG